CCUGGUGCCCAUCGCGGAGUUGAUACACCCGAUCCCAUCCCGAACUCGGCCGUGAAACACUCCAGCGCCUAUGGUACUGCCGCUUAAGCGGCGGGAGAGUCGGUCAGCGCCAGGC
RNAcentral lists this ribosomal RNA (115 nucleotides) under Roseococcus suduntuyensis. The record is from RNAcentral. Lineage: Bacteria; Pseudomonadati; Pseudomonadota; Alphaproteobacteria; Acetobacterales; Roseomonadaceae. RNAcentral also lists the same sequence under 3 other names.